AUUGAACGCUGGCGGCGUGCUUAACACAUGCAAGUCGAACGUGAAAGUCCUUCGGGACGAGUAAAGUGGCGCACGGGUGAGUAACGCGUGGAUAAUCUACCCUUAAGAUGGGGAUAACGGCUGGAAACGGUCGCUAAUACCGAAUACGCUCCCGAUUUUAUCAUUGGGGGGAAAGAUGGCCUCUGCUUGCAAGCUAUCGCUUAAGGAUGAGUCCGCGUCCCAUUAGCUAGUUGGCGGGGUAACGGCCCACCAAGGCAACGAUGGGUAGCCGGUCUGAGAGGAUGACCGGCCACACUGGAACUGGAACACGGUCCAGACUCCUACGGGAGGCAGCAGUGGGGAAUAUUGCGCAAUGGGCGAAAGCCUGACGCAGCGACGCCGCGUGAGGGAUGAAGGUUCUCGGAUCGUAAACCUCUGUCAGGGGGGAAGAAACCCCCUCGUGUG
Molecule: ribosomal RNA, 444 nt
Filed under: uncultured bacterium
Lineage: Bacteria
Description: bacterial SSU rRNA
Rfam family: Bacterial small subunit ribosomal RNA
Source: RNAcentral